RNAcentral lists this ribosomal RNA (484 nucleotides) under uncultured bacterium. RNAcentral's name for it is "partial 16S ribosomal RNA". It matches the Rfam family "Bacterial small subunit ribosomal RNA", at positions 30 to 507 of the family's 1533-position model. The record is from RNAcentral.
AUUGAACGCUGGCGGCAGGCCUAACACAUGCAAGUCGAGCGGAUGAAGGGAGCUUGCUCCUGGAUUCAGCGGCGGACGGGUGAGUAAUGCCCAGGAAUCUGCCUGGUAGUGGGGGAUAACGUCCGGAAACGGGCGCUAAUACCGCAUACGUCCUGAGGGAGAAAGUGGGGGAUCUUCGGACCUCACGCUAUCAGAUGAGCCUAGGUCGGAUUAGCUAGUUGGUGGGGUAAAGGCCUACCAAGGCGACGAUCCGUAACUGGUCUGAGAGGAUGAUCAGUCACACUGGAACUGAGACACGGUCCAGACUCCUACGGGAGGCAGCAGUGGGGAAUAUUGGACAAUGGGCGAAAGCCUGAUCCAGCCAUGCCGCGUGUGUGAAGAAGGGCUUCGGAUUGUAAAGCACUUUAAGUUGGGAGGAAGGGCAGUAAGUUAAUACCUUGCUGUUUUGACGUUACCAACAGAAUAAGCACCGGCUAACUUCGUG